Non-coding RNA from Treponema sp. GWC1_61_84, 348 nucleotides. Lineage: Bacteria; Pseudomonadati; Spirochaetota; Spirochaetia; Treponematales; Treponemataceae. The record is from Rfam.
GGGGGUGCUCCGGUUUCGACUGGUGCGAUUCGGGUCGCGGGCUGCAGGUGGAGCGCCGUCCUCCUAACAUACGGCAAAACUUUUAACUGCCAACAACGACAGUUACGCUCUCGCCGCGUAAGCGGUAGAACGCGGAAAUCGGCUGCGCCGCCUCGAGCGGUCGCGUUUCCGUCGCAAUCGAGGCUGGUCGACCUCCGGGCCCGAACGGGGGAAGACGAGAACAACCGGGAUACGGGGUCGCCGCGCGCCGAGCAGCCAAGCGAUCCCCGACAAAACGAUGCCCGGCUAAACCUGUAGACGUCCACGGUUCGCGCAUCAGGACGCGGGUUCGACUCCCGCCACCUCCAA